Long non-coding RNA from Polypterus senegalus (gray bichir), 321 nucleotides. RefSeq lists it as uncharacterized. NCBI's taxonomy places the organism in Eukaryota, Metazoa, Chordata, Cladistia, Polypteriformes, Polypteridae. The transcript has 3 exons. The record is from RefSeq and is a predicted model, not a curated record.
AAAAGAUCGAGAAGAAACCACAAGAUAAAGACUCUGAAGACAGGGAGACAAAACAACAACAAGAUUCAGAAGUUCCAUCUCAGCCUGCCUCCCAUAGUGGUCUGACAAACCAAAUGAACCCGGCAACCAAAAGUGAACAGAAUGGCCAGGGCCAGAGCACUGGUAGCGAGAAUGACACAGCCGGUGAAAGGAGCAAAUCUCUGAGUGACACAACUUUGUAUGUUCAAAACAACACGAGUGAACAGCCUUCAAAUGAUCUAAAAGAUGAAGUGGAGAAAUUAACAGAUUCCUCUCCGAGUCUCAGAACAAACAUGGUGUGCA